ACUACGGGAGGCAGCAGUGGGGAAUAUUGGGCAAUGGGCGCAAGCCUGACCCAGCAAUGCCGCGUGAAGGAAGAAUGCUUUCGGGUUGUAAACUUCUUUGACAGGGGAAGAGCAGAAGACGGUACCCUGACAACAAGCCACGGCAAACUACGUGCCAUAAGCGCCGGUAAUACGUAGGUUGCAAGCGUUGUCCGGAUUUACGGGGUGUAAAUGGCUUCUAGCCGGGAAGGCAAGUCAGAUGUGAAAUCUGGAGGCUCAACCUCCAAAUUGCAUUUGAAACUGUUGUGCUUGAGUACUGGAGAGGCAGACGGAAUUCCUUGUGUAGCGGUGAAAUGCGUAGAUAUAAGGAGGAACACCAGUGGCGAAGGCGGUCUGCUGGACAGCAACUGACGGUGAGGCGCGAAAGCGUGGGGAGCAAACAGGAUUAGAUACCCUGGUAGUC
RNAcentral lists this ribosomal RNA (442 nucleotides) under uncultured bacterium. RNAcentral describes it as "partial 16S ribosomal RNA". It matches the Rfam family "Bacterial small subunit ribosomal RNA", at positions 338 to 795 of the family's 1533-position model. The record is from RNAcentral.